This 496-nucleotide ribosomal RNA is filed under the name uncultured bacterium. RNAcentral's name for it is "bacterial SSU rRNA". It matches the Rfam family "Bacterial small subunit ribosomal RNA", at positions 28 to 526 of the family's 1533-position model. The record is from RNAcentral.
AAUGAACGUUGGCGGCGUGGAUUAGGCAUGCAAGUCGAGCGCGAAGGGUUGAAUGCUUGCAUUGGACCCUGAAAGCGGCGAAAGGGAGAGUAACGCGUAGGAUACCUGCCCUCAGACCCGGGAUAGCGGCGGGAAACUGCCGGUAAUACCGGAUAAUGUCUCCGGACCAAAGGUGUGACUCCGUCUGAGGAUGGUCCUGCGUCCUAUUAGUUAGUUGGUGAGGUAAUGGCUCACCAAGACGAUGAUGGGUAGCGGGCGUGAGAGCGUGGCCCGUCUCACUGGGACUGAGACACUGCCCAGACACCUACGGGUGGCUGCAGUCGAGAAUCUUCCGCAAUGGGCGAAAGCCUGACGGAGCGACGCCGCGUGCGGGAUGAAGGCCUUCGGGUUGUAAACCGCUGUCAGUGGGGUGGAAAUCGGUUGGGGCACUCCCCUUCCGUUGACCUAACCGCAGAGGAAGUCCGGGCUAAGUACGUGCCAGCCGCCGCAGUAAAAC